This 212-nucleotide long non-coding RNA is filed under the name Prunus persica (peach). RNAcentral describes it as "long non-coding RNA (PPER_LNC003651)". The record is from RNAcentral. Lineage: Eukaryota; Viridiplantae; Streptophyta; Magnoliopsida; Rosales; Rosaceae.
CACUAGCUACAACACACAUCUGGAGAGCAAGCUUCAUCUCUCACCUCUGAAACCUCUGUAAUUUCGAGGCACAUCCUUCCAUCUCUCCCCAUUUUCCCUUUUGGUAAACUGUUCCAAAGCUUGACAAAGUUUCAUUGAGCUGUCGGAAACUACUCAACACACCCAAUAUACCCCCAUCCCUUUUUCUCUUCAACAAACCCACUUAGAAUCCC